RNAcentral lists this ribosomal RNA (1067 nucleotides) under bacterium AR01. RNAcentral's name for it is "bacterial SSU rRNA". It matches the Rfam family "Bacterial small subunit ribosomal RNA", at positions 56 to 1120 of the family's 1533-position model. The record is from RNAcentral.
UGCAANGUCGAGCGGUAACAGAAAGUAGCUUGCUACUUUGCUGACGAGCGGCGGACGGGUGAGUAAUGCUUGGGAACAUGCCUUGAGGUGGGGGACAACAGUUGGAAACGACUGCUAAUACCGCAUAAUGUCUACGGACCAAAGGGGGCUUCGGCUCUCGCCUUUAGAUUGGCCCAAGUGGGAUUAGCUAGUUGGUGAGGUAAUGGCUCACCAAGGCAACGAUCCCUAGCUGGUUUGAGAGGAUGAUCAGCCACACUGGAACUGAGACACGGUCCAGACUCCUACGGGAGGCAGCAGUGGGGAAUAUUGCACAAUGGGCGAAAGCCUGAUGCAGCCAUGCCGCGUGUGUGAAGAAGGCCUUCGGGUUGUAAAGCACUUUCAGUCAGGAGGAAAGGGUGUGAGUUAAUACCUCAUAUCUGUGACGUUACUGACAGAAGAAGCACCGGCUAACUCCGUGCCAGCAGCCGCGGUAAUACGGAGGGUGCGAGCGUUAAUCGGAAUUACUGGGCGUAAAGCGUACGCAGGCGGUUUGUUAAGCGAGAUGUGAAAGCCCCGGGCUCAACCUGGGAACUGCAUUUCGAACUGGCAAACUAGAGUGUGAUAGAGGGUGGUAGAAUUUCAGGUGUAGCGGUGAAAUGCGUAGAGAUCUGAAGGAAUACCGAUGGCGAAGGCAGCCACCUGGGUCAACACUGACGCUCAUGUACGAAAGCGUGGGGAGCAAACGGGAUUAGAUACCCCGGUAGUCCACGCCGUAAACGAUGUCUACUAGAAGCUCGGAACCUCGGUUCUGUUUUUCAAAGCUAACGCAUUAAGUAGACCGCCUGGGGAGUACGGCCGCAAGGUUAAAACUCAAAUGAAUUGACGGGGGCCCGCACAAGCGGUGGAGCAUGUGGUUUAAUUCGAUGCAACGCGAAGAACCUUACCUACACUUGACAUACAGAGAACUUUCUAGAGAUAGAUUGGUGCCUUCGGGAACUCUGAUACAGUGCUGCAUGGCUGUCGUCAGCUCGUGUUGNGAGNNGNUGGGUUAGUCCCGCAACGAGNGCACCCCUANUCCUUANUUGCUA